CCUCACAGGAGAAUUAUCUGGCUGCACUGGGCACUUGCUGAUUUCAGACUGAGAUGGGGCGGAGUGAAGGGGCAUUGAGGUGUGUCUACAAAAUGACUGACAGGAGGCCCGUCCAAACACAGACAAGCAUUCUGGACUUCCCAAACGUGCUGAGGCCGUGGCGUAAACCAUCAGUUUUUAUUAUGUUGACAUAUUUUCCAGGAACCCUUUCAGAGUCUCGGAAAUGCAAAGCAUUUACACCAUCCUUUCCACCGUAGGAACCCUGUUAGGAAUUUUAAGCACGCUUCCACCACAGCAAC
Long non-coding RNA from Ictalurus punctatus (channel catfish), 299 nucleotides. Lineage: Eukaryota; Metazoa; Chordata; Actinopteri; Siluriformes; Ictaluridae. The record is from Ensembl.